Molecule: long non-coding RNA, 8018 nt
Organism: Aedes aegypti (yellow fever mosquito)
Lineage: Eukaryota; Metazoa; Arthropoda; Insecta; Diptera; Culicidae
Exons: 2
Source: RefSeq, a predicted model, not a curated record
GCCAGUUGCAAGAAGAGAGUCAAUGUGAACAGAUCGCAGAAACGAGGCAGAGAGCGUCAGAGUGAUCGUGAGGCCUCCCUCGUCCAGUUUGAGUCGGAAAAGAUUGGAAAAGAGUCAGUGAGUGUCAAAGAUCUAGUGAAAACCGUGCAAAUUUGGAAAUAUUUUAGAAAGUUAGCUUGUUGGUAGGCUGGUAAACUGUUUUUAAUGCAUCUCAAGAAUUCCCGUCAGCGGAAAAAUCUUGACUCGAUUAGUGUAGUUUUGAAAUCUCAUCAAUUGAUGCAAAAGACAGCAAAUGUAGAAAUUCAAAUCGUGUUACAAAUGAAUGUGAUUGUCGAGAAGAAGAUAAAAUAGUACUAUCUACGUAAUUUGAUGUUCAAAUUGAAGCAAAAUUGGAAAAUCCAGUCUGAGCGAGUGCGAUAGCUCGAAACGUAGAAAGGCAAACGCCAAUCUGAUCUUAUUGAUUCAGUGUGCAUUUCUUUGCUCGCAUUUGUUAAAAGAGCGCGACAACGGCCCCUCACUACUACACACGCACUUGCUACGAGUUUUGGAAGUGUUUCCUACAGAUUUUGCAUCACGUAAAGUUGUGCUGUGGAAACAGUUGACGAACCUGCGGAGAAGAACGUCUAGUGAAACCCCAAACUGUUGACGCACACAAUCUCGCGCGGAACGCACACAUGUUCAUAUACGUCGAUGUGAGCGCAGUGUGCUAGCAAGAGAACAAAGAAACGGACAUUUUGCGUCACAAUAACAGGGAAAGCGAGUGUGUUCUUGGAUAGCUGCAGUGCUCAAGGGAGGUAUUUACCAAUUCCAUACAAUUUCUGUGAUAUGGUUUCCUGCAUUCGUGCUUGGGGAACCUCUGGAAAGUAUUUGUGAAAAGUUGAAUAUCCAUCCCUCAAGUUGAAAGUGAAAGGUAGUCAGAAGAAAGACACUGAAUGAAAGAUCUAGUGGUGUUUGCUUGAAGGAGCAAAAUUGAAGAAGCAGUCGAAAAAUAGUGGUGAAACACUUCAAGGCAAACAACGAAUCUGAAGUGUGCAAAUCGAAACGUGAAGCAAAGUGGAACGUUAAACCACGUAUGAAUUCGUGUAUCUGCACUCGGUUAUGUUGUGUAUCCAGCAUUUUCUUUUAGUAACGAGAUAUUUUUAUAAUAAAACAAUAUCAAAACACGAAAAAUUUCACUAAAAGAAAACAGUAAUCAUAAACUGAAGCAGUAUAAUUGAAGAUACAAAGUAAAUAUAGUUUAUAUUUAACAAUUUAAUGAUAAAGUGUGAUAAUAGUUUUAAAACAAUUCGUACCCGUAAAACAUUGACUAAAACGUCACGGUGAGUUUUCAAAGCUGAAAAAAGAAGAAACGGGAGAAAAGUGAAAGUCCAAGAUGACAAACUCGCACAACCGGAAUGGUAGAAACGGCAGUUAUGCUGAGCGGUUCUUCAAUAAUCACAGUCCACAGCAGCUUAGUGGUAGCGGUGGUAAGCGAAACAACGCUACUAACAAUAAUGGAGGCAAUGGAGGCCGGGGACAAAAAUCUCCGAGUUCAACCUACUUCAGGAGUAUUUCGACUUCGAAUGCAAUCCCGAUAGUACAACAAUCCACGUCACCCGUUAGUAGUAAAAGUGGUACCUACUACAACUCCACUUCGCCCGGUGGACGGCAUCAUAGCUUUAACGGUCAGCGAUCGAGUCCAGGUGGUAAUGGCCCUUUCAAUAAUUCGACCGGAUCGUAUCCCGGUUCAUUGUCUGGAUCCCCACCAAACUUCUCCCAUUUUGCUGGCAGCAAAUGUUACGAUGCUCCAGCACCCACCGCUUUGCCAAAACCACCUGUACACUGGACGUCGCCUGCUUCAUCUAACGUCACGAUAUCAUCAGCUUUAAACACCUCUAAAUUAUCCACCAACAAGACAACCUCAGCAUCCGUCAUCAAUGCUAGGAAUUCCUGUAAUAGUAAGGCCCCCUCAUCGGUAGUUUCGUCAACUAUGACAACCACGUCUAGGUCCAAGGUAAAGUCCGCUGUGAAACCAGCAAUGUCCUGUGCUGCGGCUGCGGCCAAAGCCAAUCGUAGGGUUGAUUUCACGCACAACCUCAAAACGGCACUCAAUGUGCAAGCCUAACCUAAACGUUCAUGCAAGGAUGAAUCUACCGUUCCACUUUGUUCAGUGCUGCCAAGAUCACACCAACCGGAUCCAUGUACCAAAUUAACUGCGUAAAACUUUCGACCAAACGAUUUCCACCAGUCUGAGUAUUUUUGCUUUUUCGAACCACUAUCUCCCCAUAAAUAUCAACCACAAAUACACAUUUUCACUAAGGUCGCAAGCAGCUACUUGAACCAAUAGGAUGGCUACAGUGAGUUAAAUUUACGAACUAAACUCUGAUUAUCAACUCUAGUUUGUAGAUAUACAUAUACAUAUAUAUCCUUUUUUAAUGUUUUAUUUUAAUUUGAUGCGUGACAUUUUCUGGUCAAUUCAUCGGCCAUUGCAAAUUAGUAUCUUAAAUUUAUUAUUUUUGUGAGCCUAUUUUCCGGCAUUGCAGUGAUCGCACCGCGGGGAUCGAUUGGCAAACAACAGAUAUCCAUCCAUUCCAUUUGUGAACAAAAGUAUUUUUUCAAUACAUUCAAAAUAGAAGCAUUCGAUUCGUCGAUCUAAAUUGAACAAAAGUAAGAACUACAAAUUAUAUCAUCACAUUUUCUCAAGCUUAUUUAGUACCAGGAUAGCACCCGAUCCCAAUCCUGAGUCGAUCGAUGGAAUGUCGCAAAAUGUGGCAGAGAAUUGUUACUUUUGCAUUAUUCAUAUAGUCAUUUUCAUUGUUUUCAAUUAAAUAUAUGUGUACGAACUCUCACUGAAGAUAUGAGGCAAUAUUUGAUUGAGGUUCGUUUCUUAAAGAGGCGAUGACUAAUUAAACCACAAAACCGCUAGAAUGUAUGAUAUCUCAAAGACCAAAAACACGCUGCCGAUACUAUCGGAAAGAACUAUUUUUUCAAAGUAAAAUUCAGGCACUUGUGUAAUUUUGCAACGAACCAUUAAAUCACUAUUCGAACCAUCAAAUUUGUUAAAUUCCAUAAAAAAAACCAGGUGAUGAAAUUGAAAAUUCCACAUACGGUUCAUUGUAAUACCGUUUGUUGAAUUUUAAAAGCCAUCGCGGUCAAAAGUAAUUUCGCAAUUGAACUAUGAACAAUCAGACACUCAUACAUUUGUCAUUUUCAAAUUACACAAUGUGCUUGAGUUUUCAAUGAUAGAUGAAGCAUGCGUGAAUUUGUAAACUGCGCAGUUUACUUUGACGCUACGGAGCGAAAGAUUCACGGAGAAAAUAUAACAAUACAGUACAAAAUCGAACUAUUAAAUGUAUGUUUUACAAUAAUAACCAGCAAAGCAAAUCAAACAUUGACGAAAGAAAAAUGGAGACAAACAACAUGAAGAAGAAAAUAAGCGUCAAAGAUAGAAACAACACACCAAUAUGAGACAAGUGCUAGGUAAAGGGUUAUCAAGCAGAGAUGCACUAAACGAUGAUUAGCAAAAACUGAGAACUGACGAAAGGGUGAUCAAGUGUGUGUGACAAUAUAUAAACAAAACGAGAAUCGAAAGACUUAUCACUACUGAUAACAAAUCAACUUCAAAACAUUUAAUGCUUACGAUGAGGGUUAGUCGAAAGUUCGUCGACGUUCGUGCUGAAGUGGGCGAAGCUUUCCCGUUUACUCGACCGAUGGACUCCGAAUAGCAGGAGAGAUAUGUUGAGGGGCUACACACUACACUAAAUGUGAGACAUCGGGCCAUCUCUCAGGGGGCGGAGUUUAGUAACUUUGCCAACAGUGAUAAUUUUCCAUUUUUACUUUCACUUUAGUCCUGAUUAUCCUAGUUUUUAUGUUUAUCGAAUCUUGAUUGAUUUUGUCCUCUUGUGGAGGGAUAAUUCUCUUGUAAAUAGCACAGUUUUAAAAUCCGUAAUAAUGGUAGAAGAGAGUGUGCCUUCUAGUAAUUUUUAUAAACGGAGAGUAGACGAAACCCUUCAUCAAGCGAAAAUAAUUAAGAUUUGUGAAUGACGAGACAACUCCGCCCUUGAAUUUUAAGAGGACUAUCAAUUUGUACUCAUGGAUUGAAUUCCGCACAACUGUAGUCAAAGACGCCGCAAAAAUUGGAACAUUUACAUUUCUAUGGCUUCGCGAAGAAAGCCUGCAAAGGCCAAAACGCAAUAAUAGCGGACAUAUAACGGUAGCGAUAGCGGUUCAGACGGCUUUACUUAUCACAGUUAACCUAUCGGGUUAAUGUAGGAUUGAAUUCAUUCAUUCUUGAUCCAGCAACCAUAAGGAAAUUCGUGUCGAAACAACCGCUAUUGCUACUGUUUGGUAUCCACCGAGACUAUGUGUGAACCUCUGCGCUUUUCUUAAGCAAACGUGGAGUGCAAUGGCUUGGUGGUCUUCUUUUUACAAAGAUGAGAAUCUAGUUCUAAAGAAUGAAGUGUCUCCUUUGACCUAUGAUUGAUAGCAAUAUGUACUGUGUUUGUAAGGAGUAUCAUCGUGAGAUGUUGCAACUGUGCGUUGUCUUUGCUACAUUUGUUCCAGAAUAACAAUCAGUUACAGAAACGUUGAUGGCACAGAUUACAUUGAAUCGCUUUGUUUUACUGGUGAACGAUUUCUGCAAUUUUAUAAUUUUACUUUAGGCCAAAAAUCCUACAAAUUGUCUGUUUUAUUACUUCCCAAAAAUAAAACAUGUUGUUUAGCCCAGUGCAAUAAACGCUAUUCGGAAAAAAAUAUUUGUAAAGUUGCUGAUCUCAGCGUAACAAGAAAAACUAUCCAAAAGAAAUGGUAAAUCUUUCAUUUUCAAUCAGAACAAAUCCAAAUCAUAGACAUAUUUAAAAAAAACAGUGACAACGCUCUAUUUGUGACAACAACUAAAAGAUAAUAUUUGCAAUCUAGACUUUACGUUUAUCUUUAUAAAUUAGUAUUUUCAAUCAGAUUUUUACUACACAACUGCAAAUAUUUGUUUGAUCUCAAGUCUCCUAAUUAUUAUUUUUACUUAAAUAAAUUUUCAUUAACUAUAGGUGUUGCAUUGAUGCUCAGCCUGACAAUGCUGAUAGAAUAUUUACGCAUCUAUGGAUGGAAUUUGAGAUACAACUGCAUUGCAUUAGUUCAGGUCUGUUAUAAAUCAAUGAGCACUUGUAAUUUUAUAAGCUGAAGAAAACCUAUCUCGUCCAUCAUAUUUUUUAUAUUGCUUCUUAGCUUUUAAAGUUUGGGUCACAAAAGCGUCAAAAUUAUUGCAGAAUAGAAAAUUUUCACUGAGUAAAUGAAGUAAAUAUUGUAUAGAACUUAGCAGUGUAACAAAAUUCAAACAUAAUCACGGAAAAUACCAGACUUUGAACAGGUAAAAACUACAGGAUAGUAACUCUCUCACACACUUGCAACAGUACUAUUCGCCCCUUUUCAAAACGACAGAAAAAAAUAGUGACAUACCAAAUUCAGUACAUUUUGAUCCAUUGAAUAAUUAGGAAAAUUGUAAACUGAUCGUUUCGUUUGGCAGACAUCUAAUGUUGAGUGUUUACUCGUUUAUCUACGGGACAAAAACUAAACAAAUUAUCGAUACGAAGUAUCGUAACCUUAAGUUCUCGGUCAUAAACUACACCACAGCAAAACAAGCAUAUUUAUUUAGACACGUAUGAUGCCAAAAAAUAAUACGUUUAGUUUUUUUAGUUGGUUUUUUUGUUCUAUGCAUGACUUUGGCUGCAGAACACAUCAAACAAGGUAGCUUACCUAAAACAACGUCGCCUGUUGAAGUUUUUCUACCAAACAAAAUAGGGGUGGUGAUUGAAGACAGAGGGAAGUCCAUCUUUUCUUUUUCUUUUAGGACUUUUUCAUGUAUCUUUCUAUUGUAUCUGUUCAAUAAAGAUGGAACAAGAAAUUAUUUCGGGUCAGCAAAAUAUAGGUAACACAUUUUAAGAACCGACAACUUCAAACAACACAAGCGACAAAUGCGACAAAUGCUUUGACGCAGACCGCAAGCAAAGGCAGAAUGCUGUAUAUAUUAAAACAUAAAAACUCAACUUUGUUCAAAGGUUGAAGGUCCUGUUUUUAAAAAUAUUCAUUUUUUUGCCCUUGUAUGCGAUUUGUUUGAAAUAUUUGUCGUUGCUCAGCAAUAUUUAGCAUGGUACAGAGUGUACACAAGUUGUCAAUAUCUUAUAUCUAUAUGUUAUCUUUUCCAAAGCUUUGUUCGAGUACUCGUUUACUUGGCCUUAGAAACUUUUCCGAAAAAAUAGGUUACGCGGAAAACUGCAACUGCACAGUAAACAGUAAUUCGGGCACAAACUUAUUUGAUACCAGUGAAACUGAUUCCGAGUUUAAUUUCUUGUUGCAUCUGCUCAUAUUUUAUUUCAUUCUUGUCUUAUUUUUUAACGAAGAAACUAUAAAAAUAACAAAAAAAAACAAAAUCAUCAUCGUGUCUGAAUAAAUAUAAUUUUGCAGAUAAACUCAAAUUAUUCGUAUAAUAGUUUAGAAACACACAAUCACAAUGUUGAUCACACGAUAUGAACCCAUGAAUAUAAACCAGCAACGCAGAUAGUAACACUCGUAACGUGUUCUAACGGAAGUACACGAUUUCCAUUGAAUCAUGAGAGGAAAAGAAUAAACGAAAAAUGAGACACUAUUAAUCUGCGAUACGGGAAUACAGCCGACACUGCUAAAAUAUUUUUUUUUAUUUUGAACAGAAUUACACUUUAAUAGUAAGCUGUAUGAUAAAAAAGAAAACAAUGUAAAAUGAACCGUAUAGAAAGAAGAACGAUCCAGCAGAUAGACAGGUGAAGUGGAAGAAGAAGAAGAAAUGAAACCGUUAAUGACGAAGGUACCACAAAUUGUUGUGGGUCAUUCGUAAUCUACGCAACUAGAAUGAGAAAGUCAUGUAAACUCACACGCACAUACGAGAUAUCGCAUUUCAAUUAUUUUUUUCUGUAUAUUACAGAAACGUUAAAGGGUCUCCAACAAAGCGACUAGAAUUGUGGAGCAUUUAAAGUGAACCGGAAUUUAGUAGACAUGAAAAGUGUGCUGCGCGUGAGUGUUGCUUUGCUUUACUGAGUGAAGUCUAAAGGCGAAAGGAAGAGCAAAUACAUUGAAAAAUGAGAUUGUAAUGAUAAACGAAAGAGAAAACUUUUAGAAUCAUAAGCGUAAUAAAUAUUAGUAUAUUAACUAUAGAAACGAGACAAAAAGGUAGAAAUGUUCGUAAUUGUUCUGUGAUCCCUAUUCAUUUAAUGUUACUGCUUUUUUCAAGAGGCAAACAUGUAAUGAGACGGAAUUUUUUAAAUUGUUGGAUGGAUUCACAAAAGAGAAAUAGGAAAUCGCUAGUAGUGGUAAAAAAGCAGUAACGAUUAAACUGUGCUUGGUGAGUUUUUAAAUUGACCAAUCACAUCUACGAUUAAUCUGUACUAGACUUUUGUAAACGAACAAGUAAGUAAAAUUUGAACCAAUUCCUCACAAAAAGAGACAAAAUUGCCAUGUACUGUAUCAACAAUCAUAAACUACUGUAGUCCUGAUAUAUCUCAAAGCUUCCUAUAAAAUGUCCCAUUUGGCAAACAAUUUCACAUUGAUCAAAAACCAAAUUCAAUACCUACCAAACAAGUUUGUAAUUCAUUCUAAAAUAAUUUCCAAUCGCUGGUAUAUUUUUAUUCGGUCGAAAAUAUUCAGGUGCAGUUUACUUGUUUUAUCAAAUUGUAACAAAUCAAACAUUGUGAUCCUCUAUUAUUUGUAAAUCAGAAAAAAAACAUUCGAAUGGAAAAAAACACUGUCCAUUCAUUGAAAAGAUCAGAGAAGAAAAAAAAUCAUCUUCUACUCUGCAAAAAAGAUAUGUAGAAAAAAAUAUACAUCAAACCCAAUCCCAUCUCACUCUCACAAUGUGCUUUGGCACGUUCCUUUCCUAUCAAAAGCAAUACAACAGUUCCCAUCCAAAAUCCUGCUCACUAAGUCCUAAAUCCCCCUGCUCCAUUGAUCCCUUCGAACUCCACGUGAUUUCCCCCUUCCCGGUCAUCCCGAUUCCCAACACGUGGAGUUCAACCAAA